This 73-nucleotide transfer RNA is filed under the name Desmophyllum pertusum. RNAcentral describes it as "Lophelia pertusa tRNA". It matches the Rfam family "tRNA". Rfam says of the family: Transfer RNA (tRNA) molecules are approximately 80 nucleotides in length. Their secondary structure includes four short double-helical elements and three loops (D, anti-codon, and T loops). The record is from Rfam by way of RNAcentral. Lineage: Eukaryota; Metazoa; Cnidaria; Anthozoa; Scleractinia; Caryophylliidae.
GGCUUCAUAGCUCAGUUGGUAGAGCAUCACGCUAGUAACGCGGAGGUCAUGGGUUCAAAUCGCGUUGAAGCUA